CGGAUCUUGGUUGGCCGGUCCCGCCCCUGUCACGUGACAGCGUGCGCCUCUCUUCCUGCUUUCCUGACCCUCUCCGCCAUUUAAAGAAACAGUACCGGGGGCGGGCCGAGCGACGCAGCCGGGACGGUAGCUGCGGUGCGGACCGGAGGAGCCAUCUUGUCUCGUCGCCGGGGAGUCAGGCCCCUAAAUCGAAGAAGCCCUGGCGCGCCCUCCCCCCCUCCCGGGUCUGGUAGGGCGAAGGAACGGGCGUGCGGUCGAUCGAGCGAUCGGUUGGCGGCUCUUUCUCCUGCUCUGGCAUCCAGCUCUUGGGGCGCAGGCCCGGCCGCCGCGGCGCGCGCCCGGUGGCCGUUGGCGCUCGCGCCGCGUCUUUCUUCUCGUACGCAGAACUCGGGCGGCGGCCUAUGCGUUUGCGAUUCGACGAGGAGUCGUCCGGGUGGUCGGCGGCGGCGGGCAGCUGCUCCGCCCCGCUCCGGGGGAGGCGGCGGCGGCAGCGGCCGCGGGAUUUGGAGCGGCCGGGGAGGCGGGGGUGGCCGGGGCCGGCUUGGAGGCCUGGCGCCACCCUUCGGGGCCUGCAAGGACCCAGUUGGGGGGGCAGGAGGGGGCCGGAGGAUGGUUGGUUGUGGGAUUUCUACUUUGCCUUUUCCUCCUUAUGCCGCCUUAGUGAGGGGCGGGAGCUCUGGCGGCAGCCCCGGGGUGGGGAGACGAGCUCCGGAGUCGGAAGAGCUGGGUUUUCUUCCGGGCCUAGCCACCAGUUGGCGGAGUGACCUUAGGCGAGUCACUCUGUAAUUUGUCUGCGCCUCAGUUUCCUCCUCUGCCUAUCAAUGUGUGUGGGGUUGAAAUCGCUUUGUAAACUAUAAAGCGUGGGUGUACGUAAAGGAUGGUUAUUGUUUAUAAUUUUUUUUGAGUUGUAAGAAAACUUAGCAGUUCCCCAAUCCUUGGGUUUUGAACCUGGGAACCUUGGAUUGGAGUUGGGGAUCCCCAAACUUCCUGAAAUUGUGGGAAUGUGCGGUUUGGGGGAAUGAUGGGAAUUUGUGGGAAUGUGCGUUUUAGGGGAAUGAUGAUCCAUCGCUAGCAAGUUUUCCAAGGGGGCUGUGACCCAGAAGAGUUAAGAAUCACAAUUUCUUCAUGCUACAGAGAGGAAACUGAGGCCUAGAUGUCAUUUGGGACCCUUCACAACCAUUUUGAAGCCCUGUUUGAGUCCCUGGGAUAUGUGAGCUGUUUCUAUGCAUAAUGGAUAUUCGGGGUUAACAACAGUCCCCUGCUUGGCUUCUAUUCUGAAUCCUUUUCUUUCACCAUGGGGUGCCUGAAGGGUGGCUGAUGCAUAUGGUACAAUGGCACCCAGUGUAAAGCAGCUACAAUUAGGAGUGGAUGUGUUCUGUAGCAUCCUAUUUAAAUAAGCCUAUUUUAUCCUUUGGCCCGUCAACUCUGUUAUCUGCUGCUUGUACUGGUGCCUGUACUUUUCUGACUCUCAUUGACCAUAUUCCACGACCAUGGUUGUCAUCCAUUACUUGAUCCUACUUUACAUGUCUAGGCUGUGUGGUUGGUGGUGAAUAGGCUUCUUUUUACAUGGUGCUGCCAGCCCAGCUAAUUAAUGGUGCACGUGGACUUUUAGCAAGCGGGCUCACUGGAAGAGACUGAACCUGGCAUGGAAUUCCUGAAGAUGUUUGGGGUUUUUUUCUUUCUUAAUCGAAAGUUAACAUUGUCUGAAAAGUUUUGUUAGAACUACUGCGGAACCUCAAAAUCAGUAGAUUUGGAAGUGAUUCAAAGCUAAACUUUUUCCUUGGCCCUCCUUGUGUUCUAAUUGCUUGCAAGUGUAAUACUAGGAUGUCCAAGAUGCCAGUUUUUGCUUCUUUGUUAGUUGUCAGCUGCUUUUAUCAAAUUUCAGGCCAUUAUCCAACAAACACUAUAAAAAUGUUUGAACAAUUGGAUUUCAAACAUUUUCGUUUUGUGGAGUGGUGCUCACCAAGUGGUACAGCCCUAAGCAAGUGAACACAAACACAUUUAAGUGUAUUUUGUCUGAUUAGAUGUUAGCCAGUUAUGCUAUUUCAUUCAAAUGUCUGAAAAAAUCAAUUGACUAUUCCCUUUUCCUAAAGGGCAGAGACAGAUAAUCUCACUUCCAGAGAAAUGACUUGGAGAAAAAAAAGUGUUGGUCUUUUUGCUCUUUUGUAAUUAAAUCCGGAUGUACCUCAAAAGACUUAAGACUGUGGUGAUAAGAUGCUUUCCUCAGCAGAAAGGAGGGAAAAAAAACAACUGGAACUCAAAGCUUGAAAUUCUGUGGCAAAACAUGAGAUGUCCAGGAUUGGAGGUUGAAAAGAUUUCACUACAGUGUUCUGCAAUAGUUGGAGCAGAUAACUUUCAGUGUAGCCACAGCCAUGGACUCCAGAUUUCCAGAUUUUCAAGACCUGGACCUGGAACCCGAAAGAGCUUGUCACGAUGCGGCAGGAACACUGGAGGUAGAUUUUUUUUUAUUUUUGAAUUUUGGGACUGUUGACCUUGCUGUGAGAAAAGAGACAACGACUGAGCAAGCACUACCACCAGCACUGUUACUGGGAAUUAGAAGACCUGAGUUUCUGUCCAGACCCUCAGUGCAAACUGAGGAUGCUCCAUCCAAAGUGAAUUAUGCCUACAGACCUGGUACCUGGAUUUUUGCCCGAGAUGAUUCCUACCACCUUACUACUGACGAAGACACCCAUUCCAGUGGACCACUGUGACCCAGGAGGCAUUCAGCCAUCAUGAUGUGGCCUUUACCUCCACUCCUGUCUUGUUCUACCCAGAUUCAGCACAGCCCUUUAUAGUGAAGUCAGAGUCCUCAAGCCAAAUAGCUAAAGCUGUUUUAUCACAACAAAGGCCUAGUUUGUUCCAUGAGUGUGCAUUUCAUUUCUUCAGUUAAAGCCUUCAGAGACACACAAUAAAUUUGGACCAGGGGAUUUUUUAGUUAUUAAUGCUCUCUGAAGAAAGGCAACAUCUUUUUGAGAGCAGCAUUGGACCACACCCCACAAUCUCAAAUGAUUGAAAUUCAUGAACAUCUAGGAUCCCGUGAAGGUCACUGGACCCUGUUUUUUCUACUUCAAAUCCUGUAGUAGCCUACUGAAUGAGAAAACAUAUUCUGACCCAUUGGGAUCAAAUCAAAGGCACAGUGAACUCCUCAUAGCAUCUUCUUUGGAAUUACUCAGGAACCAGAACUUUUUACACAAAUGUAAGAAAUUCUACCAAGGAGUCCCCUUACCUAACAGCAUCUCACAAGGCUGCACCAGAUUCCAGAAAAGGCUUCUCUUGAUACAUCAAGGUAGA
Molecule: long non-coding RNA, 3291 nt
Filed under: Homo sapiens (human)
Lineage: Eukaryota; Metazoa; Chordata; Mammalia; Primates; Hominidae
Description: non-protein coding TUG1:2
Rfam family: Taurine upregulated gene 1 conserved region 3 (bases 2547-2792)
Source: RNAcentral